RNAcentral lists this ribosomal RNA (826 nucleotides) under uncultured archaeon. RNAcentral describes it as "partial 16S ribosomal RNA". The record is from RNAcentral.
ACGGGCGGUGUGUGCAAGGAGCAGGGACGUAUUCACCGCGCGGUAAUGACACGCAGUUACUAGGGAUUCCAUAUUCGUGAGGGCGAGUUACAGCCCUCAGUCAUAACUGAGGUAGCAUUUGAGGAUUACCUCAUCCUUUCGGAUUCGGGACCCAUUGUUGCUACCAUUGCAGCCCGCGUGUGGCCCUAGAGUUUCGGGGCAUACUGACCUGCCGUGGCCCCUUCCUUCCUCCACAUUAACUGCAGCGGUCCCGCUAAUUCGCCCCACUACUCCGGAGAGUAAUGGUAGCAACUAGCGGCAGGGAUCUCGCUCGUUACCUGACUUAACAGGACAUCUCACGGCACGAGCUGACGACGGCCAUGCACCACCUCUCAGCUUGUCUGGUAAAGUCUUCAGCUUGACCUUCAUUCUGCUGUCUCCCCAGGUAAGAUUUCUGGCGUUGACUCCAAUUGAACCGCAGGCUUCACCCCUUGUGGUGCUCCCCCGCCAAUUCCUUUAAGUUUCAUACUUGCGUACGUACUUCCCAGGCGGCAAACUUAACGGCUUCCCUGCGACACUGCAUUGGCCACAAGCCAAUGCAUCACCGAGUUUGCAUAGUUUACAGCUGGGACUACCCGGGUAUCUAAUCCGGUUUGCUCCCCCAGCUUUCAUCCCUCACCGUCGAACGUGUUCUGGUAGACCGCCUUCGCCACAGGUGGUCUUCCAUAGAUCAAAGGAUUUUACCCCUUCCUAUGGAGUACCGUCUACCUCUCCCACUCCCUAGCUAUGCAGUAUUCCCGACAGCCCAUAUGUUGAGCAUAUGGAUUUAACCGAAAACUAACAAAGC